This 497-nucleotide ribosomal RNA is filed under the name uncultured bacterium. RNAcentral's name for it is "partial 16S ribosomal RNA". It matches the Rfam family "Bacterial small subunit ribosomal RNA", at positions 28 to 507 of the family's 1533-position model. The record is from RNAcentral.
GACGAACGCUGGCGGCGUGCCUAAUACAUGCAAGUUGAACGAUGAAGCUUGGUGCUUGCACCAAUUUGAAGAGCAGCGAACGGGUGAGUAACGCGUGGGGAAUCUGCCUUUGAGCGGGGGACAACAUUUGGAAACGAAUGCUAAUACCGCAUAAUAACUUUAAACAUAAGUUUUAAGUUUGAAAGAUGCAAUUGCAUCACUCAAAGAUGAUCCCGCGUUGUAUUAGCUAGUUGGUGAGGUAAAGGCUCACCAAGGCGAUGAUACAUAGCCGACCUGAGAGGGUGAUCGGCCACAUUGGGACUGAGACACGGCCCAAACUCCUACGGGAGGCAGCAGUAGGGAAUCUUCGGCAAUGGACGAAAGUCUGACCGAGCAACGCCGCGUGAGUGAAGAAGGUUUUCGGAUCGUAAAACUCUGUUGGUAGAGAAGAACGUUGGUGAGAGUGGAAAGCUCAUCAAGUGACGGUAACUACCCAGAAAGGGACGGCUAACUACGUG